AGUGAACGCUGGCGGUAGGCCUAACACAUGCAAGUCGAACGGCAGCACAGUAAGAGCUUGCUCUUACGGGUGGCGAGUGGCGGACGGGUGAGGAAUACAUCGGAAUCUACUUUUUCGUGGGGGAUAACGUAGGGAAACUUACGCUAAUACCGCAUACGACCUACGGGUGAAAGCAGGGGAUCUUCGGACCUUGCGCGAUUGAAUGAGCCGAUGUCGGAUUAGCUAGUUGGCGGGGUAAAGGCCCACCAAGGCGCCGAUCCGUAGCUGGUCUGAGAGGAUGAUCAGCCACACUGGAACUGAGACACGGUCAAGACUCCUACGGGAGGCAGCAGUGGGGAAUAUUGGACAAUGGGCGCAAGCAUGAUCCAGCCAUACCGCGUGGGUGAAGAAGGCCUUCGGGUUGUAAAGCCCUUUUGUUGGGAAAGAAAAGCAGCAGGUUAAUACCCAGCUGUUCUGACGGUACCCAAAGAAUAAGCACCGGCUAACUUCGUG
Molecule: ribosomal RNA, 492 nt
Filed under: uncultured bacterium
Lineage: Bacteria
Description: partial 16S ribosomal RNA
Rfam family: Bacterial small subunit ribosomal RNA
Source: RNAcentral